Molecule: ribosomal RNA, 533 nt
Filed under: Daldinia loculata
Lineage: Eukaryota; Fungi; Ascomycota; Sordariomycetes; Xylariales; Hypoxylaceae
Description: eukaryotic LSU rRNA
Rfam family: 5.8S ribosomal RNA (bases 59-212)
Source: RNAcentral
GGACCACUAAAUUCUAUUUUACUACUGUAUCUCUGAAUGCUUCAACUUAAUAAGUUAAAACUUUCAACAACGGAUCUCUUGGUUCUGGCAUCGAUGAAGAACGCAGCGAAAUGCGAUAAGUAAUGUGAAUUGCAGAAUUCAGUGAAUCAUCGAAUCUUUGAACGCACAUUGCGCCCAUUAGUAUUCUAGUGGGCAUGCCUAUUCGAGCGUCAUUUCAACCCUUAAGCCUAGUUGCUUAGUGUUGGGAAUCUGCCCUGUAUUUAUAGGGCAGUUCCUUAAAGUGAUCGGCGGAGUUAGGGCAUACUCUAAGCGUAGUAAUAUUCUUCUCGCUUCUGUAGUUGUCCUGGCGGCUUGCCGUUAAACCCCUAUAUUUCUAGUGGUUGACCUCGGAUUANGUAGGAAUACCCGCUGAACUUAAGCAUAUCAAUAAGCGGAGGAAAAGAAACCAACAGGGAUUGCCCUAGUAACGGCGAGUGAAGCGGCAACAGCUCAAAUUUGAAAUCUGGCCCUAGCGGUCCGAGUUGUAAUUUGUA